Molecule: ribosomal RNA, 1430 nt
Filed under: Thoropa miliaris (rock river frog)
Lineage: Eukaryota; Metazoa; Chordata; Amphibia; Anura; Cycloramphidae
Description: 16S ribosomal RNA
Rfam family: Bacterial large subunit ribosomal RNA
Source: RNAcentral
AAUUAUUCCGAGCUCAACACCUAGCCCUUCACCCCCUUAAUAAUAAUCUCUUAUUUAACCUUUUAAACUAAAACAUUUUAUCAAUUAAGUAAAGGCGAUUAAAAAAUUCUUAGGAGCUAUACAUAUAGUACCGCAAGGGAAAGAUGAAAUAACAAUGAAAUUACUUUAAGCAAAAAAAAGUAAAGAUUACCUCUUGUACCUUUUGCAUUAUGGUUUAACUAGUCUAAUCAAGCAAAAUGACUUUUAGUUUGACCUCCCGAAACUACGCGAGCUACUUCGAGGCAGCUUUAUGAGCAAACCCGUCUCUGUUGCAAAAGAGUGGGAAGACCUUCAAGUAGAGGUGACAGACCUAACGAGCCUAGUGAUAGCUGGUUACUCAAAAAAAGAAUAUUAGUUCAGCCUAAAGUUACACUUGUAAUAAAAAAUUUUAACUUGACUUUAGAGUUAUUCAAAUAAGGUACAGCCUAUUUGAACCAGGAUACAACCUCACCUGACGGGUAAAUUUACUAUCAUUUUUAUAACCAAGUGGGCCUAAGAGCAGCCACCUUUAAAACAGCGUCAAAGCUUAAUUAUAAAGAUCUUCAAUUCCUCUCUACAUCAUUAACCCUCUAAUUCUAUUGAGUAAUUCUAUAACUUUAUAGAAAAUUUUAUGUUAAAACUAGUAACAAGAAGUAGACCUUCUCUUUAAUGCAAACUAAAAUCAGAAAGGACACCCCACUGAUGAUUAACACUUAUGACCCGAAAGUAGUAACUUUAACAAGAAAAUUCUACCUCCACUCAAUGUCAACCUUACACAAGAGCAUUACAAGAAAAAUUAAAAGAAAAAGAAGGAACUCGGCAAAUAUUUAACCUCGCCUGUUUACCAAAAACAUCGCCUCUUGACAAAUAUAAGAGGUCCAGCCUGCCCAGUGACUCUGUUCAACGGCCGCGGUAUCCUAACCGUGCGAAGGUAGCGUAAUCACUUGUUCUUUAAAUGAGGACUAGUAUGAAAGGCAUCACGAGGGUUAUACUGUCUCCUUUUUCUAAUUAGUGAAACUAAUCUCCCCGUGAAGAAGCGGGGAUUACUUUAUAAGACGAGAAGACCCUAUGGAGCUUUAAAUUAAAUAACAAUUGCCACCUUAUUUUCAUUAACUUUAUAACGUCUAGCAAUAUGAUUAUUAAUUUUUGGUUGGGGUGACCGCGGAGCAUAACAUAACCUCCACAUUGAAAGGAUUUACUCCUAAGCUAAAAGCAACAACUUUAAGCAUCAAUAAAUUGACAUUAAUUGACCCAAUAUAUUUGAUCAACGAACCAAGUUACCCUAGGGAUAACAGCGCAAUCUACUUUAAGAGCCCAUAUCGACAAGUAGGUUUACGACCUCGAUGUUGGAUCAGGGUAUCCUAGUGGUGCAGCCGCUACUAAUGGUUCGUUUGUUCAACGAUUAAAACCCU